GACGAACGCUGGCGGCAUGCCUAACACAUGCAAGUCGAACGGAGAAUCACUUCGGUGAUUCUUAGUGGCGAACGGGUGAGUAACGCGUAGGCAACCUGCCCUUUGGAUGGGGGACAACAUUCCGAAAGGAGUGCUAAUACCGAAUGUGACAGGAUUCUCGCAUGAGAGUCUUGUGAAAGAUGGCCUCUACAUGUAAGCUAUCGCCAAAGGAUGGGCCUGCGUCUGAUUAGCUAGUUGGUGGGGUAACGGCUCACCAAGGCGACGAUCAGUAGCCGGUCUGAGAGGAUGAACGGCCACAUUGGGACUGAGACACGGCCCAGACUCCUACGGGAGGCAGCAGUGGGGAAUCUUCCGCAAUGGGCGAAAGCCUGACGGAGCAAUGCGCGUGAGUGA
RNAcentral lists this ribosomal RNA (393 nucleotides) under uncultured bacterium. Its description in RNAcentral is "bacterial SSU rRNA". It matches the Rfam family "Bacterial small subunit ribosomal RNA", at positions 28 to 408 of the family's 1533-position model. The record is from RNAcentral.